GCAGUCGACGGUAACAGGUGUAGCAAUACAUGCUGACGAGUGGCAGACGGGUGAGGAACACGUACGCAACCUCCCCCAAACCGGGGCACAACCUUGAGAAAUCAGGGCUAAUUCCCCAUAACAUUGCGAAAGGGCAUCCAAUUGCAAUUAAAGAUUCAUCAGUUUGAGAUGGGCGUGCGUUCGAUUAGCUAGUUGGUAGGGUAACGGCUUACCAAGGCAACGAUCGAUAGCUGGUGUGAGAGCACGACCAGCCACACGGGCACUGAGAUACGGGCCCGACUCCUACGGGAGGCAGCAGUAAGGAAUAUUGGUCAAUGGACGAAAGUCUGAACCAGCCAUGCCGCGUGAGGGAUGAAGGUUCUCUGAAUUGUAAACCUCUUUUAUUUGGGAAUAAACGUUCCGUUUCUACGGAAUUUGAAGGUACCAGAUGAAUAAGCACCGGCUAACUCCGUGCCAGCAGCCGCGGUAAUACGGAGGGUGCAAGCGUUAUCCGGAUUUACUGGGUUUAAAGGGUGCGUAGGUGGAUUGGGAAGUUAGUGGUGAAAUACUACAGCGCAACUGUGGAACUGCCAUUAAUACUAUCAAUCUUGAAUACAGUGGAGGUGGGCGGAAUGUGUCAUGUAGCGGUGAAAUGCUUAGAUAUGACACAGAACACCAAUUGCGAAGGCAGCUUGCUACACUGUCAUUGACACUGAGGCACGAAAGCGUGGGGAUCAAACAGGAUUAGAUACCCUGGUAGUCCACGCCCUAAACGAUGUUCACUCGAUCUCGGCGAUACACUGUCGGGGUCUAUGCAAAGCAUUAAGUGA
This 809-nucleotide ribosomal RNA is filed under the name uncultured bacterium. RNAcentral describes it as "bacterial SSU rRNA". It matches the Rfam family "Bacterial small subunit ribosomal RNA", at positions 57 to 867 of the family's 1533-position model. The record is from RNAcentral.